Molecule: transfer RNA, 71 nt
Filed under: Dipodomys ordii (Ord's kangaroo rat)
Lineage: Eukaryota; Metazoa; Chordata; Mammalia; Rodentia; Heteromyidae
Rfam family: tRNA
About the family: Transfer RNA (tRNA) molecules are approximately 80 nucleotides in length. Their secondary structure includes four short double-helical elements and three loops (D, anti-codon, and T loops).
Source: Rfam by way of RNAcentral
GGAGGUGUAGCUCAGUGCUAGAGUGCCUGCCUACCAGGCCUAAGCCCUGAGUUCAAACCCUAGUACCACCA